AGAAAAAUAAGCUAAUAUUAAGCUAAUGGACUCAUACUCCAUCAAUGGAAAAAUUCCUUUUUCUA
RNAcentral lists this transfer RNA (65 nucleotides) under Nanhuaphasma hamicercum. RNAcentral's name for it is "tRNA-Met". The record is from RNAcentral. Lineage: Eukaryota; Metazoa; Arthropoda; Insecta; Phasmatodea; Aschiphasmatidae.